CCUACGGGAGGCUGCAGUGGGGAAUAUUGGACAAUGGGCGCAAGCCUGAUCCAGCAACGCCGCGUGGAGGACGAAGGUCUUCGGAUUGUAAACUCCUGUCAGGUGGGACGAAGGUCUGAGGGCAAACAGCUUUCAGGCUUGACGGUACCACCAGAGGAAGCCCCGGCUAACUCCGUGCCAGCAGCCGCGGUAAUACGGGGGGGGCUAGCGUUAUUCGGAAUCAUUGGGCGUAAAGGGCGCGUAGGCGGCACGGUAAGUCAAAGGUGAAAUCCCUCGGCUCAACUGAGGAACUGCCUUUGAAACUGCCGAGCUUGAGUCCGGGAGGGGGUAGCGGAAUUCCCAGUGUAGCGGUGAAAUGCGUAGAUAUUGGGAGGAACACCAGUGGCGAAGGCGGCUACCUGGACCGGUACUGACGCUGAUGCGCGAAAGCGUGGGGAGCAAACAGGAUUAGAUACCCUAGUAGUC
This 465-nucleotide unclassified non-coding RNA is filed under the name uncultured fungus. RNAcentral describes it as "partial internal transcribed spacer 1". It matches the Rfam family "Bacterial small subunit ribosomal RNA", at positions 338 to 795 of the family's 1533-position model. The record is from RNAcentral. Lineage: Eukaryota; Fungi.